UAUGUGAUCGUCUCUCGCAUAUCAAUAAGCGGAGGAAAAGAAACUAACAAGGAUUCCCCUAGUAACGGUGAGUGAAGCGGGAAGAGCUCAAAUUUGAAAUCUUAAAGGGUUUCCCUUUACGAAUUGUAGUUUAAAGAAGUGUUUUCUGUUGAGGUUUUGGUAAAAGUUCUUUGGAAUAGGACAUCAUAGAGGGUGAGAAUCCCGUAUUUGACCUUUACUUUCAACUUUGUGAUACACUUUCAAAGAGUCGGAUUGUUUGGGAAUGCAGUCCAAAAUGGGUGGUAAAUUUCAUCUAAAGCUAAAUAUUGGCGAGAGACCGAUAGCGAACAAGUACCGUGAGGGAAAGAUGAAAAGAACUUUGAAAAGAGAGUUAAACAGUACGUGAAAUUGUCAAAAGGGAAGCGUUUGACACCAGUGUUGUUUUUCUGAAAAUCAAUUAAAGAACUGUUUAUGCUAAGCUGUUUAGACUUUAUCAGCUAACUGUUUAGUUUUGAGCUUUUCUUUAAUGCACUUUUCAGUUAACAAGUCAACAUCAAUUUCUUUUGCUGUAAAAAAGCUUGAGGAAGGUGGCUUGAGAUUCGUCUUAAGUGUUUAUAGCCUCUUGCCUAUGCAGUCGGAGAGAUUGAGGUCUGCAGCGUAGAUCCUUCGGGGCUAAAUGCAUUUGUGCUAAGUUAUAGCAUUUUAUAGACAACUUGUUGACUAUGAUUUGUCUUGUAGCUUACUCGCUUAUGUUAUUUUACCUACGCUUAGGAUGUUGAGUCGUAGAGCACGCAG
Molecule: ribosomal RNA, 774 nt
Filed under: uncultured Neocallimastigales
Lineage: Eukaryota; Fungi; Neocallimastigomycota; Neocallimastigomycetes; Neocallimastigales
Description: partial large subunit ribosomal RNA
Rfam family: Eukaryotic large subunit ribosomal RNA
Source: RNAcentral